Molecule: ribosomal RNA, 2928 nt
Filed under: Klebsiella grimontii
Lineage: Bacteria; Pseudomonadati; Pseudomonadota; Gammaproteobacteria; Enterobacterales; Enterobacteriaceae
Description: 23S ribosomal RNA
Rfam family: Bacterial large subunit ribosomal RNA
Source: RNAcentral
GGGUUGUGAGGUUAAGCGACUAAGCGUACACGGUGGAUGCCCUGGCAGUCAGAGGCGAUGAAGGACGUGCUAAUCUGCGAAAAGCGUCGGUAAGGUGAUAUGAACCGUUAUAGCCGGCGAUGUCCGAAUGGGGAAACCCAGUGCAAUUCGUUGCACUAUCGUUAACUGAAUACAUAGGUUAACGAGGCGAACCGGGGGAACUGAAACAUCUAAGUACCCCGAGGAAAAGAAAUCAACCGAGAUUCCCCCAGUAGCGGCGAGCGAACGGGGAGCAGCCCGGAGUCUGAAUCAGCUUGUGUGUUAGUGGAAGCGUCUGGAAAGUCGCAGGGUACAGGGUGAUACUCCCGUACACUAAAACGCACAGGUUGUGAACUCGAAGAGUAGGGCGGGACACGUGGUAUCCUGUCUGAAUAUGGGGGGACCAUCCUCCAAGGCUAAAUACUCCUGACUGACCGAUAGUGAACCAGUACCGUGAGGGAAAGGCGAAAAGAACCCCGGCGAGGGGAGUGAAAAAGAACCUGAAACCGUGUACGUACAAGCAGUAGGAGCCUCUUUAUGGGGUGACUGCGUACCUUUUGUAUAAUGGGUCAGCGACUUAUAUUCUGUAGCAAGGUUAACCGUAUAGGGGAGCCGCAGGGAAACCGAGUCUUAACUGGGCGUUAAGUUGCAGGGUAUAGACCCGAAACCCGGUGAUCUAGCCAUGGGCAGGUUGAAGGUUGGGUAACACUAACUGGAGGACCGAACCGACUAAUGUUGAAAAAUUAGCGGAUGACUUGUGGCUGGGGGUGAAAGGCCAAUCAAACCGGGAGAUAGCUGGUUCUCCCCGAAAGCUAUUUAGGUAGCGCCUCGUGAACUCAUCUUCGGGGGUAGAGCACUGUUUCGGCUAGGGGGUCAUCCCGACUUACCAACCCGAUGCAAACUACGAAUACCGAAGAAUGUUAUCACGGGAGACACACGGCGGGUGCUAACGUCCGUCGUGAAGAGGGAAACAACCCAGACCGCCAGCUAAGGUCCCAAAGUCAUGGUUAAGUGGGAAACGAUGUGGGAAGGCCCAGACAGCCAGGAUGUUGGCUUAGAAGCAGCCAUCAUUUAAAGAAAGCGUAAUAGCUCACUGGUCGAGUCGGCCUGCGCGGAAGAUGUAACGGGGCUAAACCAUGCACCGAAGCUGCGGCAGCGACACUAUGUGUUGUUGGGUAGGGGAGCGUUCUGUAAGCCGUUGAAGGUGGCCUGUGAGGGUUGCUGGAGGUAUCAGAAGUGCGAAUGCUGACAUAAGUAACGAUAAUGCGGGUGAAAAACCCGCACGCCGGAAGACCAAGGGUUCCUGUCCAACGUUAAUCGGGGCAGGGUGAGUCGACCCCUAAGGCGAGGCCGAAAGGCGUAGUCGAUGGGAAACAGGUUAAUAUUCCUGUACUCGGUGUUACUGCGAAGGGGGGACGGAGAAGGCUAUGUUGGCCGGGCGACGGUUGUCCCGGUUUAAGCAUGUAGGCGGAUGUUCCAGGUAAAUCCGGAACGUUACUAACGCUGAGGUGUGAUGACGAGGCACUACGGUGCUGAAGUGACAAAUGCCCUGCUUCCAGGAAAAGCCUCUAAGCAUCAGGUAACAUCAAAUCGUACCCCAAACCGACACAGGUGGUCAGGUAGAGAAUACCAAGGCGCUUGAGAGAACUCGGGUGAAGGAACUAGGCAAAAUGGUGCCGUAACUUCGGGAGAAGGCACGCUGAUAGGUAGGUGAAGUGGUUUACCCAUGGAGCUGAAAUCAGUCGAAGAUACCAGCUGGCUGCAACUGUUUAUUAAAAACACAGCACUGUGCAAACACGAAAGUGGACGUAUACGGUGUGACGCCUGCCCGGUGCCGGAAGGUUAAUUGAUGGGGUUAUCCGUAAGGAGAAGCUCUUGAUCGAAGCCCCGGUAAACGGCGGCCGUAACUAUAACGGUCCUAAGGUAGCGAAAUUCCUUGUCGGGUAAGUUCCGACCUGCACGAAUGGCGUAAUGAUGGCCAGGCUGUCUCCACCCGAGACUCAGUGAAAUUGAACUCGCUGUGAAGAUGCAGUGUACCCGCGGCAAGACGGAAAGACCCCGUGAACCUUUACUAUAGCUUGACACUGAACACUGGUCCUUGAUGUGUAGGAUAGGUGGGAGGCUUUGAAGUGUGGACGCCAGUCUGCAUGGAGCCAUCCUUGAAAUACCACCCUUUAAUGGCUGGUGUUCUAACGUGGGCCCCUAAUCGGGGUUGCGGACAGUGUCUGGUGGGUAGUUUGACUGGGGCGGUCUCCUCCUAAAGAGUAACGGAGGAGCACGAAGGUCAGCUAAUCCUGGUCGGACAUCAGGAGGUUAGUGCAAUGGCAUAAGCUGGCUUGACUGCGAGCGUGACGGCGCGAGCAGGUGCGAAAGCAGGUCAUAGUGAUCCGGUGGUUCUGAAUGGAAGGGCCAUCGCUCAACGGAUAAAAGGUACUCCGGGGAUAACAGGCUGAUACCGCCCAAGAGUUCAUAUCGACGGCGGUGUUUGGCACCUCGAUGUCGGCUCAUCACAUCCUGGGGCUGAAGUAGGUCCCAAGGGUAUGGCUGUUCGCCAUUUAAAGUGGUACGCGAGCUGGGUUUAGAACGUCGUGAGACAGUUCGGUCCCUAUCUGCCGUGGGCGCUGGAGAAUUGAGGGGGGCUGCUCCUAGUACGAGAGGACCGGAGUGGACGCAUCACUGGUGUUCGGGUUGUCAUGCCAAUGGCAUUGCCCGGUAGCUAAAUGCGGAAGAGAUAAGUGCUGAAAGCAUCUAAGCACGAAACUUGCCCCGAGAUGAGUUCUCCCUGACUCCUUGAGAGUCCUGAAGGAACGUUGAAGACGACGACGUUGAUAGGCCGGGUGUGUAAGCGCAGCGAUGCGUUGAGCUAACCGGUACUAAUGAACCGUGAGGCUUAACCUUACAACGCCGAAG